GGUGAGGUGGCCGAGAGGCUGAAGGCGCUCCCCUGCUAAGGGGAGUAUGCGGUCAAAAGCUGCAUCCGGGGUUCGAAUCCCCGCCUCACCGCCA
This 94-nucleotide transfer RNA is filed under the name Escherichia coli. RNAcentral describes it as "tRNA-Ser". It matches the Rfam family "tRNA". From Rfam's summary of the family: Transfer RNA (tRNA) molecules are approximately 80 nucleotides in length. Their secondary structure includes four short double-helical elements and three loops (D, anti-codon, and T loops). The record is from RNAcentral. RNAcentral also lists the same sequence under 1 other name. Lineage: Bacteria; Pseudomonadati; Pseudomonadota; Gammaproteobacteria; Enterobacterales; Enterobacteriaceae.